Molecule: ribosomal RNA, 486 nt
Filed under: uncultured bacterium
Lineage: Bacteria
Description: bacterial SSU rRNA
Rfam family: Bacterial small subunit ribosomal RNA
Source: RNAcentral
GACGAACGGCUGGCGGCGUGGAUUAGGCAUGCAAGUCGAACGGUAUCAUCCUUUCGGGGGUGAGAGAGUGGCGAACUGGUGAGUAACACGUAGGUUAUCUACCCUCAAGACGGGGACAACCCAGGGAAACUUGGGCUAAUACCGGAUGUGAGCAACUUUAGUGUUUGAAAGGUGGCGUAAGCUGUCGCUUGGGGAUGAGCCUGCGUCCUAUUAGUUAGUUGGUGAGGUAACGGCUCACCUAGGCAAUGAUAGGUAGGCGGCCUUAACGGGUGGUCGCCCACACUGGGAUUGAGAUACGGCCCAGACUCCUACGGGAGGCAGCAGUCGAGAAUAGUCUACAAUGGUCGGAAGACUGAUAGUGCGACGCCGCGUGAACGAUGAAUCCCUUCGGGGUGUAAAGUUCUUUUAUAUGUGAGCAGUGCUUCUUAUAUUAACAGUAUGGGGAGAGAGAUAUUAGCAUAUGAAUAAGCAACGGCUAACUCCGUG